RNAcentral lists this long non-coding RNA (7061 nucleotides) under Medicago truncatula (barrel medic). RNAcentral's name for it is "long non-coding RNA (MTRU_LNC008223)". The record is from RNAcentral. Lineage: Eukaryota; Viridiplantae; Streptophyta; Magnoliopsida; Fabales; Fabaceae.
UAAUCCAUCAAUUUCUCAAUCCAUGUUCCCUAAAAUCCAAAUGGAUACUUUUUCUGUUUAUUAUUAGGAUUAAAUACUCCAAAAUGUUUCUCCAACUCAGGAUUCUUCUUAUUCUCAUCAAACAACCCAAAUAUAUAAGUCUCAAUAGGUCCAGACCUCAUUGGUGUUCCACCAUUAACAUGCCUAAUCAAAUUAUCAAGAUAAACUCUUGCAUUAUCAUAAGUAGCUGCAAAUCCACCAUCUGAAGGCCAACCACUCUCAGACACAACAACCUUAACAAAACCAAUUCCAGUAUUGUCAAUUGCAGCAUGUAAUGAAUCCAACAAAGCAUCAAAUAGAUUUUGGUAUCCCCUUGAACCAUCCCUAACCACAACAUUAGGAGAAGUGAAUAAAGCAUAUUGAAGUGAGAUGUCUUUUGGGUUAUCUUUAUAGCUAAAAUAAGAGUAAAUAUUUGCAAAUAAAGGUGCAUUUGCAUAUACUAAGUAGCCUAUAAUUGGAUCCAAAUAUGACCUCACAUCGCUUCUAAAUGAACCUUUAGACGGCGGGUACGAAGUUCCUAUCAUGGUCAUGUCAAUAGCCGUUGAAACCUUGAUUUGAUCUUGAAAAUUUUUCGCUCUUAUUGCUUGGUAUAUGUUUUGGAUUGCCGGAAGGACGAAUUUUGCAAAUUGAGAAGAGCCGCCAACUGGAUUAACUUCAUUACCGACCGCGAUGUAUUUGAUUUUAACACUAGGGUAGAAGUUUAGUACAUUUUUUUGUACCCAUUGAUUUGCAAUGUCUUUGUUGUUAGCAAUGUUUUGAAGAUCGGAGUUAGGCACACCUAACAUAAGCUCAAUACCAGAGUUUCUAAGUGCUUCAAGAGCAUCUGGGUUUGGAUCAUAUAGCCUCAUUCUUUUGAUGUUGUUUGAUUUGCAAAGAUCUAUUGCUUCACGUUGUGAUGGUAGAUUGGUUCCUUCCAUGCCAUAACAAACACCUAUUUGAGCACCUGCUUGUGAAAAUAUUGUAUGCAUCUCUUUAAUCAGCUCAAGUUGUAACAUUGUAAUUAGUGUUAACAUAUAAACUACUAAAAAAAAUUACAUUAGCAAAAUUAGAGUUUAAAAAAUGAAAUUCUUCAUUAAUUUUGUCGGCAAACUAUCCACUAGAUUUGUGCUGGAAAUUAAGAAGUGGCUGAGAGUUGUCCAUGCCAAUUGCCACACAUAAAAACACUGCGGUGGGCCUAUGCUAUAAAAAUAUUAGUAUAGUUCCAAACUCAAAUCAAAAUCAUUUAAAUAGACGUUUAUAAAAUACACAUAAUUUAACUAUCUUUUAUAAAUACAUAUUAUUUAAUUAUUUUCUCUGUCAUACUUAAUUUGCAUUCAUGUAAGUGUUUAAAAUAUUUUAUUUAUGUUUGUGACCAAACUAAUGUAUCUUGUAAAUUUUUAAAGCCGACUCAACAACGAAAACAAAAAAGGAAAUGGUAUAGAUUUCCUUAAAAAAAAGUAAAGAUAGUCACACAAAGAUAGUCACACAGUACGUCUCCAUUGAGAACGUGUCAUAGAAAAAAGAAAAAUUUAAUAUUAUUCAUUGUAAGGAGCUUUCUGACUUAAAGUACAAACAUGACUUUGUUAAGGAUGUCAUUUAUCAAGCGGGCAGGAGUAUUAAUGAAGAAUGAGGCGUCUGUGAACUUCCUGAUUAACCCACUAGAUAGAAGAUCGACAUUUAGGCAUGUAGAUGUUAUGGUGUACGCAUGGGUAGGAAGAAAACACGGAUGUGUGAACUUGACUGUGGUUUCACCACUUAUGGGAUUAUGGACGCGUCAAGAAAAGUGGUCAAACAUGAGAAAGCGUGUUCUGACAAUCAGCAUAUACUUUUUAUACCAUUUGAUUUUGACACUUUUGGUUUUCUAACACCAGAGAUUGUUGACCUUCUUCAUAUAGUACAAAGGGUCGUGCACAACAAUGUCUUGUCUUCUAAGUUCAUGAAUAUUGUAUUUACGAAAAUUGAUUUUGUCAUCUAAAAAGGCCUUACGGCGCAAUUUAUUGCAUGUUUAUCUUCUAUUCAUGUGUAAUAAUCUUUGAUAUAUAAAAAGAGUGUAUGGUUGUUGAGAGCAUAAAAAAUGAGAGUCUCAUUUUGACUUAAGAUCCUCUAAGAAAUUAAGAAGUCUCACAUUUAUGGAAACAAUGAAAAUAAAUGUAUUUAUAAAUGAUAGAGAGUUCCAUUCAUAGGUUCAAACUUUUAGACGAUAAACAUCUCACAAUUAAGAACACAAACUAACCCACUAUGUUGCAAAACUUCAUUGGACCUGUGUAAUAUGUCUACUUAAGAGACAAAAAAUUAAAUACAUAAAUUUAAUUUAUUUUUUUAUCUAAUUAUUCAGUCACUAAUUCAAUAUUAUCUAUUUCUGUCCAAAAAAAAUCAACUUUAUUGUUUAAUAGUAAAUAAGAAAAUUAGCUAGGAACUUCUACUUGUUUACUUACUUGUCAAGCGAAGAGUUACUGUAAACAGUGCAAACAGUAGCAGCAGAGAAGCCAUUACGGUACUGUUGCUUGUGAUCAUGCUAGGAAAGAAAGCUUUAACACAAAGGAAGUGUAAUAAAGCUUGAGUAUUAAGUUGAGUCCUAAACUUAUUUUUGCAAGUCACAUAUUUAUAUAGAGAUUCAUAUGCAGUGACCAAUACCUCGUGGUCAUGGGUCAUUAGUAUUUAGAAAUUUCUAUGGCUAUAUAUCACUUUCCUCAAUAGAAACUUUUUGUCCUUUAUAAUUAAUUCAUAAUUUCAGUAGACUAGUCGUUUUGGGUAGAUAGCUUAUCGUUUCUGUCCUUAUAUUAACGUAAGGUGGGAUAGAUAGUUUGUUUGGAAGUCUUGAGGAUAUAAAUGCCCAUUGAAAUGGCAAGGAAAUGGGGUCAAACAAUAUUGAAGUGUGGAAAAGUCUUGGAGAUAUAAGAAUCAUGUGGCUCACCAAUUUUUUAGCAAGAUUACGAGGACAAAUAAAAUGUUGGAUGAGUGGAUAAGAAGUACUUUAUUUCCAAUUUAUAAGAACAAAGGGGAUAUACAAAAUUGCUUGGAUUAUAGGGGAAUUAAACUAAUGAGUCUUACCAUGAAGUUAUGGGAAAGGGUGAUUGAAUGAAGACUAAGAAAAGAGACUCGAGUUAUCGAUAACCAAUUUGAUUUUAUGCCUAGGUGUCAACUAUGGAAGCGAUCUACUUACUUCGGCGUAUGAUGGAGAGAAACAUCGGAUGGAAAAAAAUGCCCACACUUAAUCUUCAUUGAUUUGGGGAAGGUGUGUGAUAGAGUGCCUAGAGAGAUUUUGUGAAAAGCCCUAGAAAAGAAAGGGGUUAUAAUUGGUUAUAUUAGAGUUAUCCAUGAUAUGUAUGAUGGAGUUUUAACUAGAGUAAAGACGUAAGAUGGGGCUACUGAAGAUUUUUCGAUAACAAUAGAAUUGCACCAAAGGUCUACCGUAAACCCUUACUUUUUUACUUUAGUUUUGGAUGUACUUACAGAACACAUCCAAGAGCUAGCACUAAGAUGUAUGCAUUUUGUAGAUGAUGCAGUUCCGCUUGGAGAGUCGAAUGAGAAAUUGAAUGGGAGGUUAGAGAUAAAUUUUAGAAGUGUAUGAGUUCUGCUUAAGUAGAACAAGACAUAUUAUAUGGGGUGUAACUUCAGCAAAAGGAGAAAUAGUUUAACCUUGGAGGUGAAAGUUGGAGAUCAUAUCAUACCCCAAGUUACACGGUUUAAAUAUCUCAGGUCCAUAGUACAAAAUGACGGAGAAAUAGAAGUAGAUACAAAUCAUCGUAUUCAAGUUGGAUGGUUGAAAUGAAGAAGAGCUUCAGGUGUUUCAUAUGAUAAGAAAGUACCACUCAAGUUAAAAGGAAAAUUAUAUUGGACAACAACCAGGCUAACGAUGUUGUACGGUACAGAGUGUCAGGUGGUUAAGAACCAACACGAAAAUCAAGCAAGUGUAACAGAGAUGAGGGUGUUGUGUUGGACAAGUGGUAAGACUAAAAGGGAUAAGAUUAGGAAUGACACCAUUUGAGAGAGAGAGAGAGAGAGAGAGUGAGUUGGGGUAGCACCUAUAAACGAAAAGAUGAUAGAAAAUAGACUUCGGUGGUCUGGCCAUGUAGAGAGAAGACAUGUAAAUGAUGUAGCUCGAAGAGUAGAUAAGAUGGAGGAAAGUCAGAUCAGAAGAUGUUAGAGGAAGACUUAGGAAAACUAUAAGAGAAACUAUUAUGAAAGAUUUAGAGGUUAAUGAGUAGAAUCCAAAUAUCGUUGAUGAUAGAACAUUAUGACAUAAUUUGAUCCAUAUAGCCGAUCUCAAUUAAUGAGAUAAGACUUGGUUGUUGUUCACGUUUAUUGGACCAAUAAUAAUAAAUGUAUUUAUACAAGUGGUAGAGAGUUUAAUUUUAGAAAUUUAGGUCUUAAUAUAAACAGAUUUCAUAAUACAUGUUCAACAAUCGUAAAUCAAUAGCGGAAGCAAACAAAACAUUGAACAUGAUUAUGAUCGGAUCUACGACAUGUUUGAUUUAUCAAGAUAUUAAGAAUUAGGGUAUUAAGAAUACCUGAUAAAACUUUUGUAGCAGCCCUCUCAUCAACAACGAUAACCAAAGAGAGGAGAUGAUCUGAAACACACAAUAGAGUUAGCGGCGGCUGAUUUGGUUCUUCCUCAACCGGUACCUUUAUGCCUCAAGUUCUCUUCAGAUGAGAUGAGGAGAAGAGAGAAUAUUGCCGUGUACGGUAUAUUGGGGACCAUAACCUCUUUUAUAUUAGAUGACCAUUAGGGUUUCCCAUUAUUCCGUUAAUGGGUCAUCCGUACAUCCACUCAUUGAGUCCAUAUCAACUAAUUAAAUAUUUAAUUAAUUAUCCAAUUAGAAAUCUAAUAGCCUUAUUACUUAAUUUGAUCAAUAAUCAACUAAUGCCCACAAUUGAUAAAUAGCUAAUAUAAUUAUUGUUACGAUAUUUGCCCACAUAAUGAUAUUGAAAUAUAAUAAAUAAUAAAAUAUUCCAACAUUUAAUUCAUAGAUUUAGACUUUUGGACGAUAAACAUCUCACACUUAAGAAUACCAACUAGCCCACUAAUACAUGAAUUUCAUUUUUUUUUUUUUACCUAAAAAUUACAUUUUUUAUUUAAAAAUUUAGUCACUAAUUCAAUAUUAUAUAUUUCUGUAAAAAAAAAAAAUCAUUUUAUCGUUUAUCGUUUAGUAAUAAGAAAAUUAGCUAGGAACUUUUACUUAUUUUUAUGAAAGUAUUGCAUGUGAUCAUGCUAGGAAAUAGAGCUAUAGCACAAAGGAGUGUAAUAAAACUUGAGUAUUAGGCUGUGCCCUAUACUUACUUUGACAAGCCACAUAUUUAUUUAUAUAGAGAUUCAUGUGCAGUGAUCAAUACCUCGUUGUCACGGGCCAUUAGUAUAAAUAUCAAAAUGUUUUUAUCAAUUGGAUUCAAUGAAUUCUAUGGCUAUCACUUUCAUCUAUAAAAAUUUCUUGUCCUUUAUAAUUAAUUCAUACUUUCAUUAGACUAGUCGUGUGGCAGAUAUGAAUCUCUGUUGUUAGUCAAUAGCCUAUAUGCUUUCAGCCCUUCUUAGUAAAGACGGACAGAUAGUUUGUCUGGAUAUAUUUCCACAUAUAUAGUAAAUAGAAAUUCAAUCCAUAUACAAUGGUCUAUUGAAUGCCAUUUUCAAUAUAUUGAAAUCAUUAUAGUGGGGUAUUGAAAAUGAGAGAAGAUGAAAGAGGUGAUGAAAAGGUUAAACAUGUUGAAAUUUUGACCGGAGAGGUCACAUGGCACGCUCGUAUUGGACCAACCAAGGCGUGUGGCAUGCACGCGCCGACAAGGCGCGUGGGAGCAGGCUUCCGCGGAGAGAAAGAGAAAUGGAUUAAAUUAGUGACAUGUGGCGCGUUUCGAUUGGCUGCUUAGAUUUUUAUCAUCUUAAUAAUUUGAACUCAAUUAUUUCAUUGCAAAUAAUUUUUUUUUCUCUAUAAAUAGAGACUUGGAUCAUUUGAUUUCGACACAGAAAAAAAAAACUAAAUUUUUCACUCUCUUAAUCUUAUUAUUAGCUUUUCUUUUGAAGUUUUAGUCUUAAUGUUAAGUGUUUUUUUAUUUUAAUUUAAUUAUAAUCGAUAAUUGUAAUUUUAUGUAAUUAUAAAAACAAAAAUAUAAAAUUAAAUAAGAUUAAGAAAUAAAAGGUGGUGGGGUAGAGUGUUGAAUGAAAAAACCAUUGGAGAGGGUAAAAGUUGAAUGAGUGUUGAAUUAAGAGAAAAAAAAUUAUGUGCAGUGUUGGGAAUUGAAAAAGUGGGUGUUGAAUGUUGUUGAAUGGUUUUAACCCUUACAACGAAAGCUCUUUUAUCCACAUACACUUGCACUUGUACGGUCAUUGCGCUGCUCAACAAAAGCUUCCGCCUUAACACCUUUCUAGAAGACUUUGGAUACAAGAAGCCAAUUCAAACCCUUGGCGACCCAUCGACUUUGACACCAUUGUUGAGUCACAUUAUCUUUUUAAGAAAAAUAUACUAAAAAAUAUCAAAACUAGAAUAUUUAAAAAUAAUGAUAUAAUAUAAUAUCAAUUAUUUUCUUUUUAUAUACCAUAUUAUCUUAAUAUGUGUUAAAUGGUCAUAUGCGACAUUUUUUUAAAAGAAAAUGUGACAAUUAUGUGGUGGAGAUAUAUUAUAUGAGUUGUGGUUACAAGAUCAAAACAAGACAACCAUUUUAUUUCAGAUAUACAUAAAGAGAGCAACCUUAAUUAUAUAAUUAAGUGUCACCCUUUCUUAAAACAAAAUUAAAUGUCACUCUUAAGAGGAAAAGACACAUUAAACAAAUUAGUACCAUCAAUUUUCCCCUGAAAUCCAAAUGGAUACUUUUUCUGUUUAUUAGGAUAAAACACUCCAAAAUGUUUCUCUAACUCAGGAUUCUUCUGAUUCUCAUCAAACAAUCCAAAUAUAUAAGUCUCAAUAGGUCCAGACCUCAUUGGUGUCCCACCUUUAACAUGCCUAAUCAAAUUAUCAAGAUAAACUCUUGCAUUAUCAUAAGUAGUUGCAAAUCCACCAUCUGAAGGCCAACCACUCUCAGACACAACAACCUUAACAAAACCAAUUCCAGUAUUA